This 253-nucleotide ribosomal RNA is filed under the name uncultured bacterium. RNAcentral describes it as "partial 16S ribosomal RNA". It matches the Rfam family "Bacterial small subunit ribosomal RNA", at positions 524 to 776 of the family's 1533-position model. The record is from RNAcentral.
UACGUAGGGUGCAAGCGUUAAUCGGAAUUACUGGGCGUAAAGCGUGCGCAGGCGGUUUGCUAAGACCGAUGUGAAAUCCCCGGGCUUAACCUGGGAACUGCAUUGGUGACUGGCAAGCUAGAGUGUGGCAGAGGGGGGUAGAAUUCCACGUGUAGCAGUGAAAUGCGUAGAGAUGUGGAGGAAUACCGAUGGCGAAGGCAGCCCCCUGGGCCAACACUGACGCUCAUGCACGAAAGCGUGGGGAGCAAACAGG